CAAGCAGCGGAGCGUGUGGUUUAAUUCGAUGCUACACGAAGAACCUUACCAGGGUUUGACAUACAAGUAGUAGGAAAGGAAACUGGACGACCCUUCGGGAGCUUGUACAGGUGCUGCAUGGCUGUCGUCAGCUCGUGUCGUGAGAUGUUCGGUUAAGUCCGCUAACGAGCGCAACCCUCGCUGUGUGUUACAAGUGUCACACGGAACUGCCGGUCAUAAGCCGGAGGAAGUGGGAUGACGUCAAGUCAGCAUGGCCUUUAUGUCCUGGGCUACACACGUGCUACAAUGGCCGGUACAGACGGACGCAAAGCCGCGAGGUGGAGCAAAUCCUAAAAAGCCGGUCUCAGUUCGGAUUGCAGGCUGCAAUUCGCCUGCAUGAAGUCGGAAUCGCUAGUAAUCGCAGGUCAGCAUACUGCGGUGAAUACGUUCCCGGGCCUU
RNAcentral lists this ribosomal RNA (438 nucleotides) under uncultured Longilinea sp. RNAcentral's name for it is "bacterial SSU rRNA". It matches the Rfam family "Bacterial small subunit ribosomal RNA", at positions 926 to 1382 of the family's 1533-position model. Lineage: Bacteria; Bacillati; Chloroflexota; Anaerolineae; Anaerolineales; Anaerolineaceae. The record is from RNAcentral.